AUCCAGGCUUGGAUUCAUGUGCCAGUAUCCCCAGCAUGUCCGGGACAGGGGGUGGCAGGGCGCCCCGGGGUCCAUGGGCUGGCCUGUGCUCUGCUAUUGUUGGGCUGCAGAAACCUCGGUCCUGCUCCAGCUGCUGGGGACGGAGCUGCUGCCACAUUCCGGGAGGAGCCAGAGGGCUGUCAGCAUGUUGGCAAGAAGCUUUGCAGGGAUCCUUUCCCCCCAGCUGGGGUCAGAGAGGCUGGUGGAGAACCCCCUGGCAAAGCUGGGGGACCUGAGUGACCUAAAGCACAUUUCCCAGUCUCUCCCAAAUCCCUCAAGCAUUCCCUGUGCCCCCAAAACACUCCACCAGCCCCAAAUGCCAUGUGCCACCGGGAACCUGGCACUGAGCCCACGUUAUUCAGUUCAUCCCAUCUCCUCUGGCAACCCUGCAUGUGUUUGGUGUUUACAUCCCAGGAUGCCUGGAUACAGCCGACCACACUCGUGGUCCUUCCCAUCAGGAGCUGACAUCUUCCUCCCGACGCCGCGGCCGCCGCAGCCCAUGGUCGGGAAGCAGACUGGCUACUGCAAUUUCUCCUGUGCCAGACUGUCCAUGUGAACCCAGUGAUGGGAAAGACGUGGCACCAGCAAGCCCAGGAAGUGAAAUGUCCCACGGAAUUGUCCCACAGAAGGAGGGAUGGGGGUGGAAGGCAGGGAAACUCGCCCUGAUUGCCCUGGGUGAAAGCAGCUCCAGGCAGGCAGGAGCUGCCCGUGGGGCAAGGGGAGGGAAGGGAGGGUGAUGGCCCUGUGUUUGCUUUUCCCGUGCGUUCCCAGAAAGGUGGGGAUCUCUUCCUGGCUGGCUCCCAGCUGAAGCAGCCUGGGAAUUGUGCAAACAGCCAUAAAAUCACCCAAUCUGAGGAGGAAACAGCUCUGCCUCCCUGGUGGCUUUUCCUGAGGGAGAGAAUUAUCAGCUCAGCCUUCAGCUCAAGGAAAGCAGCCCAAGGGUCAGGGACAGGGAUUUGGCUUCUUCGAUCCAGAGAGUCAUAAUCCAAAGGCUCUGUCCCAUUCUCUCUGCUGUGCUCCUGCCUCCCCUGCACAUUCCACACCUCCCACUGUUUCCAUAGGCCCACCCAGAAUUCAGGCCUGUGGAGAAGAGCUUCCUAUUUUAUCCUAUUUCACCCAAUCGCAUCCCAUCUCAUUCUAUCCCACCCCAUUCUAUCCUGCCUCACCCCAUCCCACCCCAUCCCAUCUCCUUUCCCAUGACCAUUCCCACCCUGGACCUUCUCUCCCUCACUCUGCUCCUGAGGCAGGAGUUGGGUGCACGGCCAGGUCCAUGUGGACUCAUGCCCAUUACAUCCUAUUCCUGCUCUCAAAGGUACCUGUUCAGUUUUUUUGCUGUCACUUCCCAACCCUUUGGAAACCUUCCCAAGAUGUACUUACAGAAUUACUGUUCCUGCUCUGAAGAGAAAACAGCCAAACCUUGUUGUACCUCCUCCCGUUACCAUCUGAAAGGAGGAUUAUCCUCCCCACAAAGGGCCACAUAUUUGGUUAAUGAUGCUUUCACUGGUUUGAAAGUGAAUUCUAGAAAGUCUCUUUCCCUCCUGUGUCUCCUUCUGGUUCCAGCUGUCCGUGUUCCCACCAGGGACAGGACAAGCCCUGCUGGUCUGAAAACCACUCUGAGAUUGGGGAUUUGGUUUGACUUUGUGCAAGGUUCCCAGUUAUCUCCAUCCCCUGUUGUACAGAGGGUGUUGGGGUGGGCAUGGCAUGGAGGGAGCUGCCACUGCUGAUCCAAAGAGAAAUCCAGGAGAAGACUUUGUCAGGUCCCCAGGUUGGGGUUGGAGGAGUGACCCCAAAAAGGAGAUGUGGUGCCCUUUCUAUUUCAGUGCCAAGCAUCCUGCCCAUUCCAGCAGAGCCGAGAUGAUCCAGCUCCCAGCGAGGCAGGACAGGGGUGGAACAGAUUUCCCCACGGUCAGAAGCAGCUGUGUCACAUUUCUCCUCACAGUCAUCUCCAGGACACAAAAAUUAGUGGAGAAACAGCAACAAAACUGCAGACCUGAAAACCUUCCGGCAGUUCCGAGUUACUGGCGGGAUCUCCCAGCCUGGAUCCUCCAUCCCGCCGGAUCGCGCUGCCGCUGGCACCGCUUGCACGGAGCACGAAGCCUCCAAAGCUUCAUGAUCAACUGUGUUGUUCUUUUUUAGCAGCCACGGUAUUUAUAAAUGGACCUUUCCAAGCCACAGGAGUGUGGUGGUGCCAGAGGUCCACGGUCAGGUGGAGCAAGGGCAGAGUCAGAGGAGGAAGAGGAGAAGGAGGAGGCUCUUGGAUGGUUUCCUCCUGCCCUGAAGGCAAACCUUUCUCUUCAAGAUGGAACACGCCGGAACCUGCAAUAAGCCCUUGAGAUUGCUUUCCCAAAAGAAGCAGAAAAGGGUGAGUGAGGAGACAGAGCUCUUCCCAUGGGGAUAAAUACCCAGUUGAGUAACCCCCAUUUGAGUAACCCUAAUAACCCUCUUCCAUUAACGCUCAGUUCGAGCUGAGUCAUCAGCAGGAGAAUGUUCCUGCAUUUUCAGGAACAGCCUGGGAUUUUAGAGCCCAACUGGAUGAUGGCACUUAGAAAGUAAUCGGUUCCAUAUGCUCAUCCUCCCAACCCCAGGGGGCUGGAAAAGGUCUUGAGAUGGGCACCCCAAAAAGCCCUUCUGCUUUCAGCUGCCAUGGAAAGGCUGAUGGCAAAUCCAAGGAACGUUCUCAUGGAGCAAUUGUGCAAGAGCAGGCUUGUCCAUUAGCUGUCAGAUCUACCCAUGGUUAUAAAGCCUGAGGUGAAAGGGCUGGGAUGGAGCAGCCAGCUGAGGAAAAGGGGGGAUGAUAAACCUCACCAAACACCGCGGAGGAGAAAGGCUGCCCCGAGUAUCAGAUCGGGCAUGAUAAACUCAACCACCAAGGGAACCAACCAAUUACUGGGAGAAAAAGGACAUGAUGUAGAAGGUUGGGGUGGAUUGUCCUGCUGUGGAUGUGCCAAGGUCAAGGAGAAGGAAAAACAAGCCCGACCAAGGCGUGGCGGCAGCGAAGGAGUCACCGGCCUCCCCUACUCCUCACAUUCUUUGAAUAGCUACAAUAAUAACAACAAUAAAACCCAAACUCCACCGAAGACACUGAUGUCAUCUCUGAAAAUAUUUUAGAGACCUGCAUUUUUUAUACUAAUAAAAUAAAGGCAGUGAUUAAUCCAA
Long non-coding RNA from Pseudopipra pipra, 3195 nucleotides. RefSeq lists it as uncharacterized. Lineage: Eukaryota; Metazoa; Chordata; Aves; Passeriformes; Pipridae. The record is from RefSeq and is a predicted model, not a curated record. The transcript is spliced from 2 exons.